Non-coding RNA from Spea bombifrons (plains spadefoot toad), 465 nucleotides. The record is from the annotation of a RefSeq genome assembly. Lineage: Eukaryota; Metazoa; Chordata; Amphibia; Anura; Pelobatidae.
AUGAUGUCACACAGAUGUUUGCUGAUCAUAUUAACCAUCUGGGUUCAUGGAUCCUGUGGACAGAUUGCGGUGACUCAGACUCCAGACUCUGUCUCUGUGUCACCAGGAGAACGCGUCACCAUGACAUGUAAAGCCAGUAGUAAUGUAUACGGCUAUGUAGCCUGGUACCAACAGAAACCAGGACAACCCCCAAAGCUCCUGAUCUAUUAUGCCAGCAGCAGAUACAGCGGGACCCCAGAGCGGUUCAGCGGCAGCGGGUCGGGAACUGAUUUCACUUUUACCAUCAGCGGAGUGCAAGCAGAAGAUGCAGCAGAUUAUUACUGUCAGCAGAGUUACAGCGCCCCUCUCACAGUGAUACAGAGCCAAUGCCAAGGAGAGAUUGUGGUGACUCAGACUCCAGAAUCUUUGUCUGUUCUUCCAGGCGACCCGGUGACCAUCAGCUGUAAGACCGUUAUAUAUUUCUAA